AGUGGCGGACGGGUGAGUAACACGUAAGAACCUGCCUUUUGGAGGGGGAUAACAUAGGGAAACCUUUGCUAAUACCCCAUAAUGCUGAGGAGCUAAAUCGCAUUUGCGGCCAAGAGAGGGGCUUGCGCCUGAUUAGCUAGUUGGGGAGGUAAUGGCUUCCCAAGGCCACGAUCAGUAGUUGGUCUGAGAGGAUGAUCAGCCACACUGGGACUGAGACACGGCCCAGACUCCUACGGGAGGCAGCAGUGAGGAAUUUUCCGCAAUGGGCGAAAGCCUGACGGAGCAAUACCGCGUGAAGGAAGAAGGAUCGUGGUCUGUAAACUUCUUUUCUCAGAGAAGAAGAUCUGACGGUAUCUGAGGAAUAAGCACCGGCUAACUCCGUGCCAGCAGCCGCGGUAAUACGGAGGGUGCAAGCGUUGUCCGGAAUGAUUGGGCGUAAAAGCG
Molecule: ribosomal RNA, 444 nt
Filed under: uncultured cyanobacterium
Lineage: Bacteria; Bacillati; Cyanobacteriota
Description: bacterial SSU rRNA
Rfam family: Bacterial small subunit ribosomal RNA
Source: RNAcentral